GACGAACGCUGGCGGCGUGCCUAACACAUGCAAGUCGAACGGUCCGGCGCUCAACCGACCCUCAGUCUAACUGUAGGGGAAGUUGAGUGCCGGGUAGUGGCGGACGGGUGAGUAACGCGUGGGCAACCAACCCUGUACAGUGGGAUAACACCGGGAAACCGGUGCUAAUACCGCAUGACACCUAUAUGGUGCAUACCGUAUAGGUUAAAGGAUUUAACCGGUACAGGACGGGCCCGCGUCCCAUUAGCUAGUUGGUGAGGUAACGGCCCACCAAGGCGACGAUGGGUAGCCGACCUGAGAGGGUGACCGGCCACACUGGGACUGAGACACGGCCCAGACUCCUACGGGAGGCAGCAGUGGGGAAUAUUGCGCAAUGGGGGGAACCCUGACGCAGCGACGCCGCGUGAGCGACGAAGGCCUUCGGUCGUAAAGCUCUGUUCUUGGGACGAAGGAAAUGACGGUACCCAAGGAGAAAGCCCCGGCUAACUACGUG
RNAcentral lists this ribosomal RNA (493 nucleotides) under uncultured bacterium. RNAcentral describes it as "bacterial SSU rRNA". It matches the Rfam family "Bacterial small subunit ribosomal RNA", at positions 28 to 507 of the family's 1533-position model. The record is from RNAcentral.